AAAUAAAUAUUUCACUAUAAUUAAUAUUUUGUACAAUUGCAAGAAUAUUAAGAAAAUAUAAAUACAAAAUUCACUCCUUUUUUGAAUGCCCUUUCCGAUAUGUAUUUCCGAGAACCUAUACAAACACUUGCGGUAGAAAGAUUAGUAACAAAUAAAUAAUUAUCAAAAUAAAAUAAAAAUCAUAUGGGCAUAAAUAUAUAUAUAUAAAUAGAAUUUUUAUUAAAAGUGUGGGC
This 233-nucleotide long non-coding RNA is filed under the name Capsicum annuum. Its description in RNAcentral is "long non-coding RNA (CANN_LNC018043)". Lineage: Eukaryota; Viridiplantae; Streptophyta; Magnoliopsida; Solanales; Solanaceae. The record is from RNAcentral.